AGCGGGCCGGACGGCCGCGUAUGGCGGAGUGCAUCGCACGGCGCCGUGCGAGGAAAGUCCGGGCUCCCCAGGGCAAGAUGCCAGCUAACGGCUGGACGGGGCAACCCGAUGGAAAGUGCCACAGAAAAGAAGACUCCCGGCCCCAAUCGUUCCCCGAGAACUGGUUGACUGAGGCGCAUUCGGUGGAGCAGAUGGGCGUGAAAGGCGAGCGAGCGGCCUAUAUGCGCCGUGAGCGAGGCUUGAACGCUCAGAUGCCCACCGAGGCGUCUCAGGGCUGGGAAAAGCUGAAACGGUGUGGUAAAAGCGCACCAGUGCGCCGGCAACGGCGCAGCUUGGCAAACCCCAUCUGGAGCAAACGCAAAUAGGGACGCCAUACGGCCGCCCUGCCGUGCGUCCGGGUUGCGCGCUAGAGGCCGCAGGCGACUGCGGUUCGAGAUAAAUGGCCGUCCUCGACAGAACCCGGCUUACAGGCCCGCUUC
This 479-nucleotide RNase P RNA is filed under the name human gut metagenome. RNAcentral describes it as "Bacterial RNase P class A". It matches the Rfam family "Bacterial RNase P class A". From Rfam's summary of the family: Ribonuclease P (RNase P) is a ubiquitous endoribonuclease, found in archaea, bacteria and eukarya as well as chloroplasts and mitochondria. Its best characterised activity is the generation of mature 5'-ends of tRNAs by cleaving the 5'-leader elements of precursor-tRNAs. The record is from RNAcentral.